Molecule: transfer RNA, 74 nt
Filed under: Oribacterium sp. oral taxon 102
Lineage: Bacteria; Bacillati; Bacillota; Clostridia; Lachnospirales; Lachnospiraceae
Description: tRNA-Ile
Rfam family: tRNA
About the family: Transfer RNA (tRNA) molecules are approximately 80 nucleotides in length.
Source: RNAcentral
GGAACUAUAGCUCAGCUGGUUAGAGCGCACGCCUGAUAAGCGUGAGGUCGGUGGUUCGAGUCCACUUAGUUCCA